UCAACCACUCGUGGAUGGAUACUACCGAGAAGGUUGUGAUAUAUUUGGAGUAGAGUCUGCCAUCAUCGUACUAUUCCUCGCGCCAUCUAAGUUCAGAGUUGUCUUCCUCCUCAUCGCUUUGCAGAGUGCUGUACCAACUGCACAGUACCUUCAAUCCUCUGGUCAGCCUUUGAGACUUCAAGUUUUUCCAUAGUGGUAGUAGCCGCUGCAAACACAUCGUUGUUGACACCUUCGGCUAUAACCGUCCCAGCGCCUGUUCCGACUUGCUCCUGUAUCAUAUCACUUCCCUGCUCUGAAAAGUUGUUAAUAUGAGGUUGGAUGGUCACAUCCAAAGCACAUAUAUCAGAGACGAUCAUAGCAUCUUCACUUUCUGCUGUAUACUGCUUCAAAUUCAGCCCAUCACCUUGCACUGAAACGGCCUUGGGAUGGUUGAUAGCAGCAAGAUGCACAGAAUGACAGCCGAUCAAGGACUGUGGAAGAUGAGACAAGGUUGCACUAAGCCCUUCUGUCCUGGGAGGGGAAUUGGUUACCCCCACUGACGAAAGAGAUGCAAGCAAAGAAAAACUUGUUGUCUGCAUAGGAACAGGGCCACCAUUCUCUUGAUUAGAUGCCAUCAUCAUCUUUGUCUUGCUGCUCUUCACUCACCGGUAGCUCAAUUGCUGGUUCAAAACCG
Molecule: long non-coding RNA, 673 nt
Organism: Zea mays
Lineage: Eukaryota; Viridiplantae; Streptophyta; Magnoliopsida; Poales; Poaceae
Exons: 3
Source: RefSeq, a predicted model, not a curated record